This 258-nucleotide unclassified non-coding RNA is filed under the name uncultured fungus. RNAcentral describes it as "partial contains small subunit ribosomal RNA, internal transcribed spacer 1, and 5.8S ribosomal RNA". The stretch from base 1 to 73 matches the Rfam family "Eukaryotic small subunit ribosomal RNA", at positions 1759 to 1831 of the family's 1831-position model. Lineage: Eukaryota; Fungi. The record is from RNAcentral.
GCAAACUUGGUCAUUUAGAGGAAGUAAAAGUCGUAACAAGGUUUCCGUAGGUGAACCUGCGGAAGGAUCAUUACAGUAAUCGUCGGAGUGGCUCGCCGCUCAACGACAUUACCCUUGCAUUUUGUACCUCGUUUCUUUGGCGGGCUCGCCCGUCAGUGGACCAUUUCAACCUUCUUGAAGUAAUCUGCGUCAGAAAACAUAACAUUUACAACUUUCAACAACGGAUCUCUUGGUUCUGGCAUCGAUGAAGAACGCAGC